UACGGAGGAUGCAAGCGUUAUCCGGAAUGAUUGGGCGUAAAGCGUCCGCAGGUGGCAAUGUAAGUCUGCUGUCAAAGCGUCUGGCUCAACCAGAUAAAGGCAGUGGAAACUACAUAGCUAGAGUAAGGUAGGGGUAGAGGGAAUUCCUGGUGUAGCGGUGAAAUGCGUAGAGAUCAGGAAGAACACCGGUGGCGAAGGCGCUCUACUGGACCGCAACUGACACUCAGGGACGAAAGCUAGGGGAGCGAAUGGG
RNAcentral lists this ribosomal RNA (253 nucleotides) under uncultured bacterium. RNAcentral's name for it is "partial 16S ribosomal RNA". It matches the Rfam family "Bacterial small subunit ribosomal RNA", at positions 524 to 776 of the family's 1533-position model. The record is from RNAcentral.